GGGGAGGCAAGGAUUUGCUAUUUUGAUUUCUCUCCCGUGAGCUGAAAUGCUAGCAUUAAACUAGAAUGCCACUUAACAUACUCAUGCAUCUUUGCAGAAGUAUCCUACACAAGCAUAUAUGUUUAUAUAUAAUCCAAUUGCCAGCAUGUAUUGAAUUAUAUCCAAAAAUCAAGCAUCAUAUUAUUAUGGCCUCAGGCCCC
This 200-nucleotide long non-coding RNA is filed under the name Prunus persica (peach). RNAcentral's name for it is "long non-coding RNA (PPER_LNC007164)". Lineage: Eukaryota; Viridiplantae; Streptophyta; Magnoliopsida; Rosales; Rosaceae. The record is from RNAcentral.